GAUGAAGAACGUAGCGAAAUGCGAUAAGUAAUGUGAAUUGCAGAAUUCAGUGAAUCAUCGAAUCUUUGAACGCACAUUGCGCCCGCCAGUAUUCUGGCGGGCAUGCCUGUUCGAGCGUCAUUUCCACCAUCAGGCCCCCGGGCCUGUGUUGGGGACCUGCGGCUGCCCGCAGGCCCCGAAAUUCAGUGGCGGUCGCGCCGUAGCAACCGAGCGUAGUAACUAAAACGUCUCGCUCUGGCUUGCUGGGCGCGCUCCGGCCGUAAAACACCCCCCCUUUUCGCAAAGGUUGACCUCGGAUCAGGUAGGAAUACCCGCUGAACUUAAGCAUAUCAAUAAGCGGAGGA
RNAcentral lists this unclassified non-coding RNA (344 nucleotides) under soil metagenome. RNAcentral's name for it is "partial contains 5.8S ribosomal RNA, internal transcribed spacer 2, and large subunit ribosomal RNA". The stretch from base 1 to 120 matches the Rfam family "5.8S ribosomal RNA", at positions 35 to 154 of the family's 154-position model. The record is from RNAcentral.